UACGUAGGGUGCAAGCGUUGUCCGGAAUUAUUGGGCGUAAAGAGCGUGUAGGCGGCCCGGUUAGUCCGCUGUGAAAGUCCAGGGCUCAACCCUGGAAUGCCGGUGGAUACUGUCGGGCUAGAGUCCGGAAGGGGCGAGUGGAAUUCCUGGUGUAGCGGUGAAAUGCGCAGAUAUCAGGAGGAACACCAAUGGCGAAGGCAGCUCGCUGGGACGUGACUGACGCUGAGACGCGAAAGCGUGGGGAGCGAACGGG
Molecule: ribosomal RNA, 253 nt
Filed under: uncultured bacterium
Lineage: Bacteria
Description: partial 16S ribosomal RNA
Rfam family: Bacterial small subunit ribosomal RNA
Source: RNAcentral